AGCCAUAUCACAUUGAAACAUCAAUUCUCACACAAUCACCAAAGUUAAGCAAUGUUGAGCAUGGUCUGUACCUAGAUGGGUGACCACUUGGGAAUAUCAGGUGCUGUAAG
Acanthosepion pharaonis is the source of this 110-nucleotide non-coding RNA. The record is from the annotation of a GenBank genome assembly. NCBI's taxonomy places the organism in Eukaryota, Metazoa, Mollusca, Cephalopoda, Sepiida, Sepiidae.